RNAcentral lists this non-coding RNA (495 nucleotides) under Nicotiana attenuata. Its description in RNAcentral is "Bacterial small subunit ribosomal RNA". It matches the Rfam family "Bacterial small subunit ribosomal RNA", at positions 9 to 546 of the family's 1533-position model. Lineage: Eukaryota; Viridiplantae; Streptophyta; Magnoliopsida; Solanales; Solanaceae. The record is from Rfam by way of RNAcentral.
GAGUUCGAUCCUGGCUCAGGAUGAACGCUGCGGCAUGCUUAACACAUGAAAGUCGGACGGGAAGUGGUGUUUUCAGUGGCGGACGGGUGAGUAACGCGUAAGAACCUACCCUUGGGAGGGGAACAACAGCUGGAAACGGCUGCUAAUACCCCGUAGGCUGAGGAGCAGAAGGAGGAAUCCACCCGAGGAGGGGGCUCGCGUCUGAUUAGCUAGUUAGUGAGGCAAUAGCUUACCAAGGCAAUGAUCAGUAGCUGGUCCGAGACGAUGAUCAGUCACACUAGGACUGAGAAACGGCCCAGACUCCUACGGGAGGCAGCAGUGGGGAAUUUUCUGCAAUGGGCGAAAGCCUGACGGAGCAAUAUCGCGUGGAGGUAGAAGGCCCACGGGUUGUGAACUUCUUUUCCCAGAGAAGAAGCAAUGACGGUAUUUGGGGAAUAAUCAUUGGCUAACUCUGUGUAAGCAGCCGUGGUAAUACAGAGGAUGCAAAUGUUAUUC